CUACAUUUUCAAGCUGGUUCCUUUCUCACUUUUCCAGUGAUGACCAAUCUUGGUUUUCCAGAUGUCUGUGAACUACAUUGCCCAUGAUGCCUGUGACAUUUGGAGAUUUGAAAAUAAGAGAGACAAGAGGAGGGAUAGAAUCUGGGAUAAGAGUGGGAAAAUGCCAGUGAAGUAAAUUGUGACUCUGGUAAAAGGGAGACGUCAAUUCCUGUCCUGGUCACGGAGAAUUGCAGAAACAAAAAUGAUGCUCUUGCCCAAAAUUCAGUACCUUUUUCGGACACUUUCUAUUCAACUCAACAAAACGUACCUCC
This is a non-coding RNA of Pelobates cultripes (western spadefoot toad), 311 nucleotides long. Lineage: Eukaryota; Metazoa; Chordata; Amphibia; Anura; Pelobatidae. The record is from the annotation of a GenBank genome assembly.